RNAcentral lists this microRNA precursor (203 nucleotides) under Hordeum vulgare subsp. vulgare (domesticated barley). RNAcentral describes it as "MIR1435 microRNA precursor family". It matches the Rfam family "MIR1435 microRNA precursor family". The record is from Rfam by way of RNAcentral. Lineage: Eukaryota; Viridiplantae; Streptophyta; Magnoliopsida; Poales; Poaceae.
UAGGUUUUUCCUAAGUCAAACAUCUUUAAGUUUGACCAAAUCUAUAGAAAAAUAUAUCAACAUCUACAACAUCAACUAUAUAUAUUACGGAAAUAAAUUUUAUGUUGAAUCUAACAAAACUAAUUGGAUGUUGUAGAUGUUGGUAUGUUUUUCUAUGGACUCGGUCAAACUUAAAGAGGUUUGACUUAGGACAAAGAACUUAA